UGGAAGCCGCCGUUACGCGUCACUCGGCGCACGAGCGCCCGCCGAUGAGACUGCCUUCUCCGAGGCUGUAGCAGAUCUCAGAUGAUGGGGUGUUGGCGUUCAUCCACAAUUAACCUUCAUUCAGUUUCAGAUGGUUUAUUUCUGCUCCUGUAUUUCCUGCUUUUUGCGCCACCCGCGCGCUCCCCGCGUUGGAGGGCUCUUCCGGUGCUAGCAGGAGGGGCUCACCUGCGCUCAGGUGUCUGCAGGUGCUCUCUUUACCGUGACUCAGCAGAACCUCACCUGUGGCAGCACGAGCCUCUUUCUUGUUCUGGAGUGGCCUCAGGUAAAAUAUAUGUCUUUGGCUAAAUGUGACAGUAGUUUGCUUUGGUCUAUAUUCGGUUAACAAACUGUAAAUAAAAACUAGAAUAGGAGCAAUUUACCUGCUGAAUCUAUUCAAACUUAUGCUGAGUUGUGAUAAAUAAUUGUUGUCUUAAGACACUAAAUGGAGCAAAGUGUGUCUGAUUGUUUACACCAUUUAAGACCCUUGAAAAUUGUGUUCUUAACAUCUUUAGGUUGCAUUUUCUGAUGAUGGACAAAUACAAAGACAAUAAAAAUAAAACCGCAUUUCUGAGUAUUUUUUAAAUUCAAAUCAUUGUAAAUUAGGAGCAGACAAAAAAAGGCAGUUUGAUACAGAAUGUUCUUCUUAACCAGAAAAUAUGCUGGGCGGGUCACAAGCUCCUUUCUGAUACAUGCAGACAGAUCGAUCCAUGUAUGUCUCUGUUUUCCUCAUCUGACCUGGAAUCUGGAUCAGAACUGGACGGCCGGAUAGCUCUGAUAUUUUUUGUUGCGCUAAUGACGUAGGUUGGGUGUGAGAGGGGCUGUAAGCUAGUGGGAGAGAGUGUAAAUAAAGACCUCUCAGCAACAGGAAGGGAAAGAACGGCAGAGUUGGUCUGCGUCAACGGUCCGCACAACAGAGGUGAAUUUCUGAGGAACUCCUGCCGCUCUGCAGAAACUAUGUUCUCGAAAACAACAGUUUUGAGAAAAAAUGGCUAAAAACGGCAUAAUCAUAAUCAAAAGACCUCUGGGAACACUUUUACAAUAGAUCAAAAGAUCUUCUUCACUGUUAGACUGAAAUUGACAGUUUUUUUUAUAUGCAGAUUUUCUUUUUAAUGUAAAGUAACACCACAUUCUUCCAAUUUAGUUUCCAGUUUUGCAUUGUCCAAGCCAGAUAUUACAUUUAGUCAUUCAUAUUUGACAGUUUAAUUAGUUACUUCGUAAAAAAGUAACUUCAAUUUCGAAGAAAGUUUAAAACCCAAAUGUUUUUGAAGAAAAUCUGUGUUCAAAGAUGUUUUAUUAUCUUUUACAUGAGCACCUUAAAAGAAAAAUAUUAAAAAUACAGGGAAGAAUUAGUUGU
RNAcentral lists this long non-coding RNA (1393 nucleotides) under Oryzias sinensis (Chinese medaka). Its description in RNAcentral is "lncRNA (ENSOSIG00000019082.1)". Lineage: Eukaryota; Metazoa; Chordata; Actinopteri; Beloniformes; Adrianichthyidae. The record is from RNAcentral.